Molecule: long non-coding RNA, 2003 nt
Filed under: Lactuca sativa (garden lettuce)
Lineage: Eukaryota; Viridiplantae; Streptophyta; Magnoliopsida; Asterales; Asteraceae
Description: long non-coding RNA (LSAT_LNC007939)
Source: RNAcentral
UCAAUCUGUCAAACGUGAAACUGUAUUCCUUCAAUGUCGCCAAUUGAAUUGGUAAAAAAACCAAUUGAAUCUCCACUACCUAAUCUUCACACCUAUAUCUAAAAUCUUGCCUUCUACCCCAUCAGAAUUAACAUAACAUUGGUCUCCCAUACUCUCUCAUGGCGUCCAACACAAAUUUGUUCCUUAAAAAACCCUAACCACAAAAUCUGACACCCACCAUCAUCCACCACUCCUGUUCUGUUUCAGAUGCAUUCCCUCACCUUCGUCACCACCAUAAGUCUGAAGCCUUACACCACCUUCCACAAUGUUUACAUCCCCUGCCACUUGCCCCAAACGACAUCACUUUAUCUUUGGUUGUUUUUUGAUUUCCAGGUUCAUUUCCUUCCUUUUUUAUUCUGGUUUUCCUUUAAUUUUGUGGAAUUAUGAGAUUUUGUUUGGAUAAAUGAAAAUUGGGGUUCCAAGAAUGUAGAUUGUGAAGACAGAUAUAAUGGUGCUCAUACCUCCACCCAUGUCACUGCACACCACCACCGCCACCAUUGUUGGUCGUUAUCUUUAUUACCAUCGAGCACGAUUGUGGAACCACUUCACCCUCACAUAUAGAUCUGCUUCUUCCCUUAAUCUGCUUCUUCUCCACUUUAAUUUCGUUUUGUCCAAUCAAAUUAGCUCCCCAUAUUACUAUUGUUGUGUUUCAUAUUUACUAAUUUUACCAUUCACUUAAUUUAUAUGACCAACUAUUUUUAAUUCCCUAUUUAUUCAUUUUGGAUCUAAUACAAGCACUCAUGUUCUAGGUCAAACAUGCUACAUUUUUUAUGGGUAAAGCUGCAGUCUUUAACUGAUACUUUGGUUCUAAUGCUCAAAAGAAAACAAGCUUCAAUUGAUUGGUCAAGGUAACUUUUAUUUCUCUAUAUUUAUGUUUCUUUGUGGGUGAUUUGGUCAUUUUUGAUGAGUAAUGGGAAUGUUUUACCUUAUUUAAAUGUUCGGUUUUAAACAUGAGUUUUCCGUGGUUAUCAUGUCUUGAAGUGUAUUCUUGUAGUUAAUUUUGGUGAGUGGGUUACGUUGGUUGAUCCACAUCAUGACCUACAACAAAUAUGAAGUAGGAGAUCUUCUCUUUUACUAUUUCUUAUUUUAAUAAUUUUCUAUCUUUUUCAUCAUUCCAAUUAUUGUUGCUAACCAUGUUGAUUAGUUUCCUCUGUUUCUAUUUUUACCACACAACAACUUUAUUUUAACUACAAAAGAAUUUAGUUUAAUCCUUCACUUUUGAUUAUAAAAAUGACAGCCGGAGCCUGACAUAUUUUGAAUUUUUCUGAAUGGUUUAAGAGUUACCUGAUUAUUGCCAUGAAAUUUUUUAUAUUAACACAUGCAUAUGCAGGUUAGCGCUUCCCUGUAAAUGUAAUAAUCAAGUUAAGGGAUUACAAAAACAAUUAUGUCAUUUUCUAACCAUCUGUUGGUAUGUUUUUGCAAAAAUCAUGUAUGCUUUAAGGCGUUUUUUUUUAAUCCAAUCUUCUCUUUGUCAUACACAUCAAUCAACAAUUGUUGGAGACAUCUCUCAAUAGAUUUUAAAACAAACAAUGUUUAUUGAACCUAUGUAAUCUUUGUUUUGUUUUAUGUAAUCUUUUUGCCUCUAGAAUCUUGCUACGAGUAUGUAAUUUAAAACACUGUUUCAAAACUUUGUGAUAUUGGAAUGUAUAAACAUAGUUUUUUUUAAUGUUUAGUAGGAGCAACAGAAAACGGAUACACAACUUUUUAUAAAUACUUAGGCCGGAUGUGAAAAAUGGAUAUUUAAUUUUUUAUAAUUACUUUGGUUGAAAUUAAAAAAAAAAAAAAAAAAAAAAAAAGGUUUGUCUAACUUCAAGAAACAAAAAGUAAAACUGUAAAUCACCAUUGAUCUAGAAAUAUCAUUACAUACAUAUAUUACAAAAAAAUAGGGCAUCAUGGUUUUCUCAAAUGUAAAAAGCAUAUACUAUUAAGAAUUAUAUUUAAGGUAUGAGAUUAAACUAUCAAAC